This 253-nucleotide ribosomal RNA is filed under the name uncultured bacterium. RNAcentral describes it as "partial 16S ribosomal RNA". It matches the Rfam family "Bacterial small subunit ribosomal RNA", at positions 524 to 776 of the family's 1533-position model. The record is from RNAcentral.
UACAGAGGGUGCGAGCGUUAAUCGGAAUUACUGGGCGUAAAGCGUGCGUAGACGGCUAUCUAAGUCGGGUGUGAAAGCCCCGGGCUUAACCUGGGAACUGCGCUUGAAACUACGGAACUCGAGUGUGGCAGAGGAAGGUGGAAUUCCACGUGUAGCGGUGAAAUGCGUAGAGAUGUGGAGGAACACCGAUGGCGAAGGCAGCCUUCUGGGCCAACACUGACGCUCAUGCACGAAAGCGUGGGGAGCAAACAGG